Myotis brandtii (Brandt's bat) is the source of this 718-nucleotide long non-coding RNA. RefSeq lists it as uncharacterized. NCBI's taxonomy places the organism in Eukaryota, Metazoa, Chordata, Mammalia, Chiroptera, Vespertilionidae. The record is from RefSeq and is a predicted model, not a curated record. The transcript is spliced from 2 exons.
ACAGUUAAUGCUUCUCUCUUUCCUACUUUCACUGAGCCAUGCGACCAGGCAGUCUGCCAGACAAAAGAAACCCGUCGCCAUUCAGGGGUUGACUUGAUCUCCCUGUGUGUGCUGAGUUGGAGUCUGAGAUAGUGAGGGACUUGUGGCCUCAAGAAGUAACAUAGUGGCACUAUUCUUCAUUGGGUGGGUGAGGCCAAGAUAACAGGGUGAAAUAGCUUUGGUGUAACAGUCGUGAGUGUCAAGUUCUGAUUUUUUGGGUAUACAGGACCAGUCCUGUGUUUGUCUCAUAAAUGAAGACUAAACAUUGCUUCUUGCCAGAAGGUCCAUGAGGAUGCUGGGGAGCGGGGGGGUUGACACCAUUUCCUGUCUUCUGUGUUCUCCAGCCCUGACGGCAGUUAUGUGGCAGCAGGCUCCGCGGAGGGCUCUCUCUACGUCUGGAGUGUGCUCUCUGGGAAAGUGGAGAAGGUCCUUUCAAAGCAUCAUGGCUCGUCCAUCAAUGCGGUGGCAUGGUCCCCCUCCGGCUCCCACAUCGUCAGUGUGGACAAGGGAAGCAAAGCUGUGCUGUGGUCAGAAUACUGACGGAGUCUCCUCAGGAGAGAGCAGAUCCGAAGCCGGAGAAGCACUCGGGCCGCAGCUCUGUCCUGGCAGGUGGCAUGUGGGGUGUAGCUUUGACCUCCAGAGAAGAGCCAGCCAGGCGACUUUCCUUGAGCAGGACUUC